Molecule: long non-coding RNA, 289 nt
Organism: Homo sapiens (human)
Lineage: Eukaryota; Metazoa; Chordata; Mammalia; Primates; Hominidae
Exons: 3
Source: RefSeq, a predicted model, not a curated record
GAUUCCCCUGGCUCAGCCUCCUGAGUAGCUGGGAUUACAGAGAAAACUCUCACUUGUCAGAAUGAACAUGGAAAAGAAGGUUUCCAGGUGCCCAGUGAAAGGCAGAGCAGCACUCACAGUCUCAGAGAAUGGGAAAGUGUCUCUAUGGCAAGCAACAGAAAACUUGUCUCACCAUCAUUAUCUCACCAAAUCUACUCAGAGGUAAAGAGGACAAGCUCUCACCAAAUCUACCCAGAGGAAAAGAAGUCGUUAUAUGAAAAAGAUACUUGCACACACAUGUUUACAGCAG